Molecule: long non-coding RNA, 540 nt
Organism: Lycium barbarum (goji berry)
Lineage: Eukaryota; Viridiplantae; Streptophyta; Magnoliopsida; Solanales; Solanaceae
Exons: 3
Source: RefSeq, a predicted model, not a curated record
ACAAGAAGAGCAAAAAAAAUGAAGAGCAAUUUCGGCCAUAGCUAGGGGAAUUUCACCCCUCAAAAUCUUCCUCCAAAAAUUAUUAGCUUGUGGUAUUUCCACUAAUUCAAGGGUCCUUUACAACUUGGUGUAGUUGUUUUGGAAGAAGGAGCACUUAUUUCUUCAAGUUGACAACUUGUUCAAGUGAAGAAAUUUAUAGAAAAAGAUUUUGAAGGAAACGGGAAUUGAAUUUGAACUAGCGUAAAGGGCGAAAAAGGUACAGAUGACAGAUUUGCUGACCGCCUGCCUAGGAUAUCUAUUCUGCUAUUUUGGGAGUGCUCUUUUGUCCAGAGCCUAUAUGUUGGUACAGUCUGCUGCUAUUGUAUAUAUAUAUGCUAUUCAGGGGUAUGACGGGGCCCUGUCCCGUCUUAUGAUUCUGUUAUGUUCUGUAGAGGUCUGUAGACAUACAUGUGUGGGUUCUGUAUAUGUUUUGGGUUGAUAUGAUCUGUGAAAGCCUUAUUGGCUUCCACGUACUAUAUCUGUUCAUCUAUGAUAACUAGU